This 432-nucleotide ribosomal RNA is filed under the name Oenococcus oeni. Its description in RNAcentral is "bacterial SSU rRNA". It matches the Rfam family "Bacterial small subunit ribosomal RNA", at positions 1106 to 1533 of the family's 1533-position model. The record is from RNAcentral. Lineage: Bacteria; Bacillati; Bacillota; Bacilli; Lactobacillales; Lactobacillaceae.
UGUUAUUAGUUGCCAGCAUUUAGUUGGGCACUCUAAUGAGACUGCCGGUGAUAAACCGGAGGAAGGUGGGGACGACGUCAGAUCAUCAUGCCCCUUAUGACCUGGGCAACACACGUGCUACAAUGGGAAGUACAACGAGUCGCAAACCGGCGACGGUAAGCUAAUCUCUUAAAACUUCUCUCAGUUCGGACUGGAGUCUGCAACUCGACUCCACGAAGGCGGAAUCGCUAGUAAUCGCGAAUCAGCAUGUCGCGGUGAAUACGUUCCCGGGUCUUGUACACACCGCCCGUCAAAUCAUGGGAGUCGGAAGUACCCAAAGUCGCUUGGCUAACUUUUAGAGGCCGGUGCCUAAGGUAAAAUCGAUGACUGGGAUUAAGUCGUAACAAGGUAGCCGUAGGAGAACCUGCGGCUGGAUCACCUCCUUUCUAAGGA